This is an RNA transcript of Gossypium raimondii (Peruvian cotton), 286 nucleotides long. RefSeq lists it as uncharacterized. NCBI's taxonomy places the organism in Eukaryota, Viridiplantae, Streptophyta, Magnoliopsida, Malvales, Malvaceae. The record is from RefSeq and is a predicted model, not a curated record. The transcript is spliced from 3 exons.
CUCUAUUUGAUUUCAGUUCUCAUCGAUUUUUUUAAAUUUCUCGAGAGAAAAAGCAAAUAAAUUAAAUAAAAUCAAACACUAUUUUCUGCUUUUAUAAUUUGAUUUCUCUCUCAGAUCUGUUCGUAGAUCUUCAAUCGCCGUCUUCCUUUUGUCUUUUUUUUUCAACAUUAUCUGGUUUAAGAAAUUUUCACGAAUUAUUGGAAAUUGCAUUUUCGAAGAAAUACAUUUACAUCUUCUUCGAAUUUUUGGAUUUUCUCCACCUCCGUUGAUAAACAAAUUUUAAAAA